AUUUUUUAAUCGCUGAGUUACGGCACUUUUGCCGUGAGCGGGGGAACCAUAUAUUGGGGUGAAUCCUGAAUUUUCAGGUAGGGUUAGUCUCGACCAAUCCGAAUCCGUCAGCUAACUUCGUAAGCGUUGGGGAGAAAGUGA
Molecule: small RNA, 141 nt
Filed under: Ruminiclostridium cellobioparum subsp. termitidis
Lineage: Bacteria; Bacillati; Bacillota; Clostridia; Eubacteriales; Oscillospiraceae
Also listed under: 1 other name
Description: Clostridium termitidis c-di-AMP sequence
Rfam family: c-di-AMP riboswitch aptamer (ydaO/yuaA leader)
About the family: This family represents a conserved RNA structure found upstream of the ydaO and yuaA genes in Bacillus subtilis and related genes in other bacteria. The ydaO/yuaA element is thought to act as a genetic "off" switch for the ydaO and yuaA genes in its native state.
Source: RNAcentral